Pelobates cultripes (western spadefoot toad) is the source of this 1209-nucleotide non-coding RNA. Lineage: Eukaryota; Metazoa; Chordata; Amphibia; Anura; Pelobatidae. The record is from the annotation of a GenBank genome assembly.
UUUUUAUUUUUUUAUUUAUUUUUUUAAAUUCUUUAUUUUUCUUUGUGCAUGGAGUAACAAAUCAUUUGUAAAUGCCGCAUCAGCAUAUUUAAAAAAUGUGAACACAGUAGCUGUACAUUUAUGGCAUAAGAUUAUCAGCACAAUUUUUAAUUGUUAAGUUAUGAACAAGCUAAACGUAAUGCAAGAUUAACCCGCGUUUGUUAGUAGCAGUAGUAUUUGCAUAUUCGUAGAGUAUUAACCAGCUUAGUUAAAUGAUUAUACUGUCAGAAUAGAUAUAUGUAAGACAGUUGAGAAUAAGUAAUGCUUGACAAUUAUAGGUUAACUACGUUAGUACCAGUGGGAUGUGGUAACUUGCUUUCAUGUUUCAGGGUUAGAAUACGUAGAGGCUCUGACACAUAAAGAUUUAUAACGCAUGAGAACAUUUAUGUUAAAGUAGACCGCUGAUCACUAGCUAUGCAUAUUGGGUAAAUCUGUAAACAGGUAGAUCUAAGCUAAUGAAUAUCAUGAGUUAUAGUUACAAAUAACACCAAGAUAGUCAUGUUUAUAUAUCGUAUGGUCCUGUUAGGGAGUAGUGUUCAGAGUAGUGAGAGAGAUGGGAAAACAUGACUGGUAUAAUGUUUGCUUUAGCACGACUGUAUGAUAGGUACAUGUUAAGUAAGUCAGUGCCCUCGUUGGUGUUGUUUAAAGAUUCCCUGUUACCCGGGGGAGGAGGGGAAGAUUUCGAGUGGCUUUACCUAAGUGGCUAUAACGUGCCCUUGGUUGCCAGCACUAGUGUGAGUUCUGUCAUAAAAUGUCGGCAUUAAAAUUUUAAACUUUUAAACAUAUAUACAUCAUAACUGGUUCGUGAGUCCAGGGGGUGCAGCGGGUGAUGCUGUUUAAAGUACACUGGUCUGGAUACUAGGUAGCUUCAAGACUGCGUCAGGCGUUGGUUACCGCGGUGAUCGCUGUUUCGGCUCUUCUAGGGACGAAUGGGGUCGCUGUUGCGGGAUUCCAAGCGGUGCUGUGUGCCAGCGUGGUUCUAUUCUCCGGUGGAGGAUGAGCGAGUGGGGAAAGUCCCAGGGUCGGUAGCAGUUCAUUUGCCUCCUGUAAGUCCUGGAUGGUAGAGGUCGCAUUCCCGUGGUGGAUUAACAGUGUGCGCGAACCUCUCCAGUGGUAGGUGAUUUUAUGUUGGCGUAGGAGGGCUGUAAAGGGUUGAAGUGUGCGUCUCCA